Molecule: ribosomal RNA, 930 nt
Filed under: Triticum aestivum (bread wheat)
Lineage: Eukaryota; Viridiplantae; Streptophyta; Magnoliopsida; Poales; Poaceae
Description: partial small subunit ribosomal RNA
Source: RNAcentral
AUGGAGGUCUUUGGCUCACCAUCAUCCAGAACAAGUACCUUCGAGGACAGCCUCUUGCAUUCUGUUAGCGCUCGGGCAGCUCCCAGUUUUGGCAGGACGUCGUCCAGCUGCUCCCUGUGCUUCGCAUUGGCACAUCCAUCUCGGUUGGUACUGGGUCCUCGACCCUGUUCUGGUUUGAUCGGUGGAUUGGCGACACCCCCUGGCCGCGCGAUUUCCGAAGCUCUUCGCCAUGCAGUUGACCCUCGCGUCUUUGUUCAGACGACCCUUAUUGACUUAGGGCGCCUCGCUUUCCGCCGCCCCUUUGGCCCACCUGAAGUUGCCGCUUGGGACGCCCUCCUUCAGGACAUCGCCCUCCUCUCUAUGGACGGCGUCGACACCCCGGAUGCCACCUCUUGGCGUCUAGAGCCUUCCGACUGCUUCUCCACCAAAUCCCUCUACGCGGCCAUCGCCCCCUCGACGGCCCCCGAGCCCUUUAGUUUGAUUUGGGACAUCCGCCUGCCCCUGAAGAUCAGGAUCUUCCUGUGGCAAUGCAUCCGCGGCCGCCUCCCGUCCGGCGUGGAGGUCCUUAAACGUAAUGGACCUGGGGAUGGGAUGUGCCCCUUGUGCGGCACGGUGGAAGAUGCUAACCACAUCUUCUUCUCGUGCUCCACGGCUCAGUUCCUUUGGUCUUGUUUCCACGAGAUGGUUGGGGCCCAGUGGUGUAACACCAACUUCCCUGACCUGCUUGCGGAAAUUCACGCCUCCCCCCUUGCUACCGCCAUAUUAGAUGGCUCUGCGUUGGGUUCCUUGCCUAGACGCUUUGGACCGUUCGCAAUAAGCUUGUCAUACAGAAGGUCCCUCUUCGACGUGCUACUGACGCCAUCUUUAAAAUGUGUGGAUACUUGCAGCUUUGGCGGCCGCUUAGCCGCCCCCAGGAUCGGGACGUCAUGA